GGCAGCGGCAGACGGCCUGAGUCACUGCAGUGACGGAGAAUCACCCGUUUCCAUGCUCAGAAGUUUGUAGCUAUUUAUUGCACUUGAACACCAAGAAUAAAACCGACACUCGCCCUUCCCUCCCGCGCCCACCCCGCGCCCGGCCCCCCCACCGCCCUCCCCAAAUGUAGCGCUGGAUCAGAGCAGUGAUCAUUCUGUUCACAGCCACAGGUUCCAAAAACAAAGAAAAAGGAAACAAAAUCCCCCCCCCCAAGCCCCCGAUGAAUCCAACACGGUCACACUGCUCGACAGUUCGAGUGCACUUACAAAAGAGAGAAAAAGGCUUCAGCUGCAGCCAUAUGGAGGCACAGACACGAGGAGACGGGCAGCUUCCCCCUCCCCGGGGUCUGAUUUUUGUUAUGUGACAAAGCUUGAUAUAUUCUUAAUUAUAAUAUAUUUUUUGCAAUCAUCUUAAAUAAAUAUUUCCAUAGAGAUUUCCUGUAUGUAUAUAUAUUUUAUAUAUAUAUUAUAUAUAGAGAGAUCUCCUUUUUUUUCUUAAACCACUGUUAACAUAUUUUCCCUGCUUGUCCAAAAAAAGUUACAAAAGCCCUAAAAUUGUGCAACAGUUAGAAAAAAGGAUCAACAACCCAAAGACGGAAGGAGCCACUCAGUAUACUCCCCCCUCCAUCAUCCCCUCUCCCACUCCCUGGCAUCACAGUCAGCAACUGGGUGGAGGCCUUGCAACGAGGAGGGACCCAUGGGCGAGGAGGGACUCCAACCAAGGGGAGAGGAGCCAUGGGGUGGCCCUUGGGGGCUGGACCACCCCAGGGCCACCAGCCUCUCCUCUGAUGUGCCCACAACCUAGUCAAGUCUGGGUYUGCCUUACCUGGUACUGAUGAGCUGGGACCUGCUCAGGGAUAAUUUGCCAGGAUGCCCUUUCAAACACAGCAAGAGGGUUUGCUGGUCCUCCCCUACGAUCCUGCCAUGGCCUGCAGAGUGGGCCGUGAGCUCAAUGCCGUGGAUGGUGUGGGUGGUCUGGGAGAGCUGGGCUGCCCACGGGCACCUCUACUGCUGCUGCUGCYGCUGGCUCCCACCGUUGCGUCUCCACAGGGGUGGAAAUUCACUGAGGAUGAAGGRAGGGGAAGCAAGUUUGGGGUCAGGUGGGAGUUUGGUGCCUGGCAGAUGGGGCAUUUCCCCUCAGGGGAGAAGGGCUGCCCUGGCUGGGGUUAGGAGCGGAGCCUUCGYUCCCUCCCGCAAAAGGUAUAGAAGCGCCCAGAGUGGCCUGUUCUUCUUCCAGAGAGGAGGCACCAGCAAGACCUGAGAAACAAUGAUGUUGCAGGCUGGACCUGGGCCCUGCCAGCCAGGAAGGGAAAAUGGGCAACUCCCAAUCCAAAUCUACAGCUGGGAACCUGAGACCACUGCAGCAAGUGCUGGGACUCAGCUCUUUCUUGUGGUCUGCAAGAAACAGAAGCGAAGAUUAAUUUGGAGGACUUCUGAGUUUUGUUUGACCUGGUUGACCAGGCAACCAAGUGAGAGUCAGGCUAUGUCUCUACUAGGAAAUYAAAAGUGCCGCAGCACGGUCUCUGGCCUUGAGACUGAUGGGAACAGGAGGUCUAUGGCAGAAACUCCCUCCCAACAAGGYGGCCUCAUCCAUAUUGCUUAUUGGGAAUGUCUGCUGGACCUUGUCAUCCCCAGAGCCUUACUGAGGUUGUUGGGGCGAUGCCAGUAGACACUGCCUAGCUUACAAGUAGGGAUGCAACCACAGCAUCCCUUGCUCUGCCAGCCAAAAAAGGGCUGUGACAGUUGGUCUUUUUUAGUUUUCCUGCAAGUUUAGAAGAAAUCAGGGAAUAUAGAGGAAGACAGAGACAGAAGCUGUUCACCAUGGCUACUAAAAGAAAGGAUGGUGGCUUAUUCAGUGCUUGCUCAGAGAUGCUCUGGGGAUACAGAAAUGUGCUCUGGAGAACCAGGGCAAGGUAGGGAGAGAAAGCAGGCAGAACAGACCCCUAAAGUGCAGGUGCUUAAUGCUGCCAGUGUGGGCAGAUGGUGGAAAGUCAAGUCUUCCUGGGUCAGACUUCGCCUUGACUGGAAGACUAAAAAGAGUUGAAACUUCAGGCUCUGCUUCCUUUUGAAUUGAUCUGGAACAUCUUGGGUGUUGCAAGGACAUCCAGCUGCCCCAGGGGAACCUGUCCAUGGAGAGAUGRCCAUAGGGAAGCCUCAAGAAGGAGAAAUCACCUCUAAGAUGACAGCUCAAAGCCACUCCGGAAACUGAGAUGUUCCCCUGGCAGUGACCGCCCAAAGAGGACUCUCAGUGAAAGGAGACU
Long non-coding RNA from Dromaius novaehollandiae (emu), 2300 nucleotides. Lineage: Eukaryota; Metazoa; Chordata; Aves; Casuariiformes; Dromaiidae. The record is from Ensembl.